This 2111-nucleotide ribosomal RNA is filed under the name Salmonella enterica subsp. enterica serovar Virchow. Its description in RNAcentral is "partial 23S ribosomal RNA". It matches the Rfam family "Bacterial large subunit ribosomal RNA", at positions 711 to 2802 of the family's 2925-position model. Lineage: Bacteria; Pseudomonadati; Pseudomonadota; Gammaproteobacteria; Enterobacterales; Enterobacteriaceae. The record is from RNAcentral.
AGACCCGAAACCCGGUGAUCUAGCCAUGGGCAGGUUGAAGGUUGGGUAACACUAACUGGAGGACCGAACCGACUAAUGUUGAAAAAUUAGCGGAUGACCUGUGGCUGGGGGUGAAAGGCCAAUCAAACCGGGAGAUAGCUGGUUCUCCCCGAAAGCUAUUUAGGUAGCGCCUCGUGAAUUCAUCUCCGGGGGUAGAGCACUGUUUCGGCUAGGGGGCCAUCCCGGCUUACCAACCCGAUGCAAACUGCGAAUACCGGAGAAUGUUAUCACGGGAGACACACGGCGGGUGCUAACGUCCGUCGUGAAGAGGGAAACAACCCAGACCGCCAGCUAAGGUCCCAAAGUCAUGGUUAAGUGGGAAACGAUGUGGGAAGGCCCAGACAGCCAGGAUGUUGGCUUAGAAGCAGCCAUCAUUUAAAGAAAGCGUAAUAGCUCACUGGUCGAGUCGGCCUGCGCGGAAGAUGUAACGGGGCUAAACCAUGCACCGAAGCUGCGGCAGCGACACUCAGGUGUUGUUGGGUAGGGGAGCGUUCUGUAAGCCUGUGAAGGUGGCCUGUGAGGGUUGCUGGAGGUAUCAGAAGUGCGAAUGCUGACAUAAGUAACGAUAAAGCGGGUGAAAAGCCCGCUCGCCGGAAGACCAAGGGUUCCUGUCCAACGUUAAUCGGGGCAGGGUGAGUCGACCCCUAAGGCGAGGCCGAAAGGCGUAGUCGAUGGGAAACGGGUUAAUAUUCCCGUACUUGGUGUUACUGCGAAGGGGGGACGGAGAAGGCUAUGUUGGCCGGGUGACGGUUGUCCCGGUUUAAGCGUGUAGGUGUGUGUUCCAGGUAAAUCCGGUUCACUUUAACACUGAGGCGUGACGACGAGGCACUACGGUGCUGAAGCAACAAAUGCCCUGCUUCCAGGAAAAGCCUCUAAGCAUCAGGUAACAUCAAAUCGUACCCCAAACCGACACAGGUGGUCAGGUAGAGAAUACCAAGGCGCUUGAGAGAACUCGGGUGAAGGAACUAGGCAAAAUGGUGCCGUAACUUCGGGAGAAGGCACGCUGACACGUAGGUGAAGUGAUUUACUCAUGGAGCUGAAGUCAGUCGAAGAUACCAGCUGGCUGCAACUGUUUAUUAAAAACACAGCACUGUGCAAACACGAAAGUGGACGUAUACGGUGUGACGCCUGCCCGGUGCCGGAAGGUUAAUUGAUGGGGUCAGCGCAAGCGAAGCUCCUGAUCGAAGCCCCGGUAAACGGCGGCCGUAACUAUAACGGUCCUAAGGUAGCGAAAUUCCUUGUCGGGUAAGUUCCGACCUGCACGAAUGGCGUAAUGAUGGCCAGGCUGUCUCCACCCGAGACUCAGUGAAAUUGAACUCGCUGUGAAGAUGCAGUGUACCCGCGGCAAGACGGAAAGACCCCGUGAACCUUUACUAUAGCUUGACACUGAACAUUGAGCCUUGAUGUGUAGGAUAGGUGGGAGGCUUUGAAGUGUGGACGCCAGUCUGCAUGGAGCCGACCUUGAAAUACCACCCUUUAAUGUUUGAUGUUCUAACGUGGACCCGUAAUCCGGGUUGCGGACAGUGUCUGGUGGGUAGUUUGACUGGGGCGGUCUCCUCCUAAAGAGUAACGGAGGAGCACGAAGGUUGGCUAAUCCUGGUCGGACAUCAGGAGGUUAGUGCAAUGGCAUAAGCCAGCUUGACUGCGAGCGUGACGGCGCGAGCAGGUGCGAAAGCAGGUCAUAGUGAUCCGGUGGUUCUGAAUGGAAGGGCCAUCGCUCAACGGAUAAAAGGUACUCCGGGGAUAACAGGCUGAUACCGCCCAAGAGUUCAUAUCGACGGCGGUGUUUGGCACCUCGAUGUCGGCUCAUCACAUCCUGGGGCUGAAGUAGGUCCCAAGGGUAUGGCUGUUCGCCAUUUAAAGUGGUACGCGAGCUGGGUUUAGAACGUCGUGAGACAGUUCGGUCCCUAUCUGCCGUGGGCGCUGGAGAACUGAGGGGGGCUGCUCCUAGUACGAGAGGACCGGAGUGGACGCAUCACUGGUGUUCGGGUUGUCAUGCCAAUGGCACUGCCCGGUAGCUAAAUGCGGAAGAGAUAAGUGCUGAAAGCAUCUAAGCACGAAACUUGCCCCGA